Molecule: long non-coding RNA, 645 nt
Organism: Ctenopharyngodon idella (grass carp)
Lineage: Eukaryota; Metazoa; Chordata; Actinopteri; Cypriniformes; Xenocyprididae
Exons: 3
Source: RefSeq, a predicted model, not a curated record
UAUUGUGUGUUGUAUCUGUUGUACUAACCGGUGAAGUUGUUAUAUUGAGUGGUGUGACUGUUGUACUGACCGGUGAGUUUGCUAUAUUGUGUGUUGUAUCUGCUGUACUGACCGGUGGGGUUGUUAUAUUGUGUGUUGUACCUGCUGAAUUAACCAGUGAGUUUGCUAUAUUGUGUGUUGUAUCUGUUGUACUGACUGGUGGGGUUGUUAUAUUGUGUGUUGUAUUUGUUGUACUGACCGGUGAAGUUGUUAUAUUGUGUGUUGUAUCUGUUGUAAUGACUGGUGAAUUUGCUAUAUUGUGUGUUGUAUCGGUCGUACUGACUGGUGAGUUUGCUAUAUUGUGUGUUGUAUCUGUUGUACUGACUGGUGAAGUUGUUAUAUUGUGUGUUGUACCUGCUGAAUUAACCAGUGAGUUUGCUAUAUUGUGUGUUGUAUCUGUUGUACUAACCGGUGAAGUUGUUAUAUUGAGUGGUGUGACUGUUGUACUGACCGGUGGGUUUGCUAUAUUGUGUGUUGUAUCUGUUGUACUGACCAGUGGGGUUGUUAUAUUGUGUGUUGUGUCUGUUCUACUGACUGGUGAAGUUGUUAUAUUGUGUGUUGUAUCUGCUGUACUGACCGGUGAGUCUGCUAUAUUGUGUGUUGUAU